This is a long non-coding RNA of Pan troglodytes (chimpanzee), 1830 nucleotides long. RefSeq lists it as uncharacterized. The record is from RefSeq and is a predicted model, not a curated record. Lineage: Eukaryota; Metazoa; Chordata; Mammalia; Primates; Hominidae. The transcript is spliced from 7 exons.
GAAUCUGUGGCUUGGGAACUCUUCAAGAAAUGCUGACAUGAAGUUUGAGAAGUGCUGGUUCAGAGAGGCUUGAAAAAGCACCUGGGCUUUAUUUGGAAGCGGAGCAGCAGCUGAUGCCUCCCUAAAUGUUCUGCAGAUCCCAGAGCAAAGACCUCUGAGUCUACCGCCCCACCCUGCCCAGCCACGGCUCACUCCUGCGGUGGGCUCUGCCAGAGGAGGAAGAGUGGGACCCUCAAGCUCUCUCUGGGUCCUCAGCUCCAGUCUCGACUUUCUCUGCUAUUCAGUGUACAGGAUGGAAAACACGGAUGCAGUGGCUUCAGGUUUUUAUAUGAAAGUAACAUCAGCCAUUCAGAGAGAGUCUGACUUGACAUCGUGCCACAUUCAAAAUUCUCAGGGGCUAAAGAAGUUCCUGCAAGAGAAGAGUGGGGCCUGGGUCUGCCUUUCCCAUUGCCAAGAUGCCUUCUGCUGGCAACAUCAUCCAUUAUGACUGAUCAUGGCAAAUGCCGGUCAGCUGGCCUCACAGCAGGUGUUAGGAAAAUAGUCUUUGGCUUGAUUAUGUUAUCUGGCUUUCCCCAAGGAGGAAAAGACUCAGAAUGGAUGGAAGUUGUUUAUAAAUUCUCCUCUGCUGCAUAAUAUUAAGAAGGGGAAAGAGGAGUGCUGGACUCACCCUGAAUUCUUUCUUGCGCGAGAUCCAAGAAUUGUCUCUUGGGGUCUGUGCUGGGACUGCUUUCCUGUAACAUAUUUCUGGCUUCCACAGAAGGGACUAUAGUGAGGAAACCACUGACUUUGGAUCACUCCCUGCAGGUGAAGCCAACUGCCAUGUUGUGCAGAGGCUCCAGCCUCCCGUGGAGAGGCCCACAUGGAGAGGAUCUGCCAUUGCCAGCAGGAGCUUUCCAGCCAUAUGAUUUCUGGCAUGGGAGACACUGAACCAUAACCACCCAGCUAAGCUGCCCCUGGAUUCCUGACCUGCAAGACACGAAGUGAGAUAACAAAUGGUGUUGUUGUAAGCCUUACCGUUUCUGGGUAAUUCAUUGUGCAGCAGUAGAUAACUGAUACCAGACCCUUCACUGAGUCUUUUGGGCUUGAAAUGGAGAGAGUCAGGCUAAUUUGGGAUUUGGGAUCUCUUGGCAGACAUUAUUUCCUAUCAUAAAGAUCAGAAUGCCAGAAGAAGCCAGUUUCCAAGCAAGAGAGGGCAAAAUGAGAGAGGGAGAGUGGGAGAGAGAAAGAGAGAAGAGAAUAGAGAGAGAGAAGACUGGGGUGUGUGUGUUAUUUCUACCUUUUUUUGGGUGACAAAACCCAGAUUUACCUUUGCAGGGAUGACUCUUUUCCCACUCUGUGUUCAUUUGGUUCGAUAGAUCUGGCUGCACGCCCUUGCUUCCUGGGUGAUUAUGUAAUUUACAUAGUUUUAGCACCAAUAUGAAGUAGUUUCUGAAGCUAGCCUCCGGGGUUUUCAGUUAUCUGAGCCAGUAUUUCCUCCCUACUUUUUUUUUUUUGCUAAACUUGGUUUGACUUGAGUCUCACAAGUGAAAGCGACUUCAUUGAAACAGGAGCAGAGAGAAGCAGCAGAUAGAGAUUAAGAAAUUUCUUGAGAAUGUACAAAUUCCUGGAUCCAGCUGUUCCCAAACCCCAGGCAAAUCCUGCCUUCAAUAACAACAGCCGGACAGCAGCAACAACAAACAUUUAUUGAAUACUUAUAAUGAAUUCCACCUUUGGCUAAUUUAGUUUCUCCCAUUCGCAGUCAAGAAAGUCUUGAAGAAUACAAUAUCCAUUGCAAAAAUAUCUGGAAAGGGAGAUAAUGUGCCAAGGGAAGCAAAAUAAAUCAAGGUUUAC